This 253-nucleotide ribosomal RNA is filed under the name uncultured bacterium. RNAcentral describes it as "partial 16S ribosomal RNA". It matches the Rfam family "Bacterial small subunit ribosomal RNA", at positions 524 to 776 of the family's 1533-position model. The record is from RNAcentral.
UACGUAGGUGGCAAGCGUUGUCCGGAUUUACUGGGCGUAAAGAGCGCGCAGGCGGUCGUUCAAGUCGAGUGUGAAAGCCCCCGGCUCAACUGGGGAGGGUCAUUCGAUACUGAUCGACUCGAAGGCAGGAGAGGGAAGUGGAAUUCCCGGUGUAGUGGUGAAAUGCGUAGAUAUCGGGAGGAACACCAGUGGCGAAGGCGACUCACUGGACAACUGUUGACGCUGAGGUGCGAAAGCGUGGGGAGCAAACAGG